UACGGAGGGGGCUAGCGUUGUUCGGAAUCACUGGGCGUAAAGCGCACGUAGGCCGACGGUUAAGUCGGGGGUGAAAGCCUGGAGCUCAACUCCAGAACUGCCUCCGAUACUGGUCGUCUUGAGUCCGAGAGAGGUGAGUGGAAUUCCCAGUGUAGAGGUGAAAUUCGUAGAUAUUGGGAAGAACACCAGUGGCGAAGGCGGCUCACUGGCUCGGUACUGACGCUGAGGUGCGAAAGCGUGGGGAGCAAACAGG
Molecule: ribosomal RNA, 253 nt
Filed under: uncultured bacterium
Lineage: Bacteria
Description: partial 16S ribosomal RNA
Rfam family: Bacterial small subunit ribosomal RNA
Source: RNAcentral